Long non-coding RNA from Lotus japonicus, 709 nucleotides. RefSeq lists it as uncharacterized. Lineage: Eukaryota; Viridiplantae; Streptophyta; Magnoliopsida; Fabales; Fabaceae. The transcript has 2 exons. The record is from RefSeq and is a predicted model, not a curated record.
GUUCGUUCUCUACGCGCGGUCUCUCGCUUGGUCAUACUCAUUCUUCUUUGAAACGGGUUUCCCAAAUCCUCUGAAUAUUCUCUCAAAAUUUUCUCAAACUCCCUCCCAGAAUUCUCCCAAAUUUCCCAAUCUCUUAUACAAUUUCAUGGGUUCGUUCUAAUAUUUGCGAUUCAACUUUCCAAUCUCCUCUCCUCCUGACAAAUCUCUUUUCUCAAUAUUCAACAAAGUUCCUAAAUCAUUUGUCCUGAUGUUUGAUGCUCUGUCCAGCCUCACUCUCUCACUAGAAGCACUGCGGUUUCAUCUAAGGAUUCAAACUGUACGUGGUUCCAGGAAAUGUUUCAGUUGAGGAAAGUGCUGAUACUGGAUGGUGGGUGGCUUUCCCUUCUUUCUAACCAAGAAAUUACAGGGAAUGUUUUUUUUUGCAGAGAGAAGGGAUAUCAAUUUUUAAGAAGUUGGGGAAAUUGUGAUUAGAAGAAUUAAAUUGUGAUUGUGAUUAGAAGAAUUAAAUUGUGAACCAACUUCACAAGGUGCAAUGGAAAAGAAAUCUAAAAUUGACAUGUUUCAGUACAAUGUGUUAUGUGUAUGAUCUCUACCUUCAACCUGAAAUGAUAAGAAAGCUUGAAAUCAUUGUUAAUAGACCGAGUUUACGACUAUGUAUAUCACACAUAUUUGUCAUAUUGGAAAUGUGUAUUUAUUUCUAUUUUCAGCA